AAUCGGACGUCUUCGGCGUUCGA
This 23-nucleotide small nuclear RNA is filed under the name Arabidopsis thaliana (thale cress). RNAcentral's name for it is "snRNA_02018". The record is from RNAcentral. Lineage: Eukaryota; Viridiplantae; Streptophyta; Magnoliopsida; Brassicales; Brassicaceae.